ACACAUGCAAGUCGAACGGCAGCACAGUAAGAGCUUGCUCUUAUGGGUGGCGAGUGGCGGACGGGUGAGGAAUACAUCGGAAUCUACUCUUUCGUGGGGGAUAACGUAGGGAAACUUACGCUAAUACCGCAUACGACCUACGGGUGAAAGCGGAGGACCUUCGGGCUUCGCGCGGUUGAAUGAGCCGAUGUCGGAUUAGCUAGUUGGCGGGGUAAAGGCCCACCAAGGCGACGAUCCGUAGCUGGUCUGAGAGGAUGAUCAGCCACACUGGAACUGAGACACGGUCCAGACUCCUACGGGAGGCAGCAGUGGGGAAUAUUGGACAAUGGGCGCAAGCCUGAUCCAGCCAUGCCGCGUGGGUGAAGAAGGCCUUCGGGUUGUAAAGCCCUUUUGUUGGGAAAGAAAAGCAGUCGGUUAAUACCCGAUUGUUCUGACGGUACCCAAAGAAUAAGCACCGGCUAACUUCGUGCCAGCAGCCGCGGUAAUACGAAGGGUGCAAGCGUUACUCGGAAUUACUGGGCGUAAAGCGUGCGUAGGUGGUGGUUUAAGUCUGUUGUGAAAGCCCUGGGCUCAACCUGGGAAUUGCAGUGGAUACUGGAUCACUAGAGUGUGGUAGAGGGUAGCGGAGUUCUCGGUGUAGCAGUGAAAUGCGUAGAGAUCGGGGAGGAGCAUCCGUCGCGGAGACGGCUACCUGGACCGAACACUGACACUGAGGCACGAAAGCGUGGGGAGCGAACAAGAUUACAUACUCUGCUAGGCCAGUCCCUCCACGAUGCGAACUGAAUGUUGGGUGCAAUUUGGCACUGCAGUAUCGAAGCUAACGCGUUAAGGUACUCGUCCUGCCUAGGGGUAGUACAGGUCGCAAGACUGGAAACUCUAAAGGAAUUGACGGGGGCCCGCACAAGCGGUGUGAGUAUGUGGUUUAAUUCGAUGCAGACGCUGAAGAACCUUACCUGGUCUUGACAUCCACGGAACUUUCCAGAGAUGGAUUGGUGCCUUCGGGAACCGUGAGACAGGUGCUGCAUGGCUGUCGUCAGCUCGUGUCGUGAGAUGUUGGGUUAAGUCCCGCAACGAGCGCAACCCUUGUCCUUAGUUGCCAGCACGUAAUGGUGGGAACUCUAAGGAGACCGCCGGUGACAAACCGGAGGAAGGUGGGGAUGACGUCAAGUCAUCAUGGCCCUUACGACCAGGGCUACACACGUACUACAAUGGUAGGGACAGAGGGCUGCAAACCCGCGAGGGCAAGCCAAUCCCAGAAACCCUAUCUCAGUCCGGAUUGGAGUCUGCAACUCGACUCCAUGAAGUCGGAAUCGCUAGUAAUCGCAGAUCAGCAUUGCUGCGGUGAAUACGUUCCCGGGCCUUGUACACACCGCCCGUCACACCAUGGGAGUUUGUUGCACCAGAAGCAGGUAGCUUAACCUUCGGGAGGGCGCUGCC
Molecule: ribosomal RNA, 1437 nt
Filed under: Xanthomonas axonopodis pv. poinsettiicola
Lineage: Bacteria; Pseudomonadati; Pseudomonadota; Gammaproteobacteria; Lysobacterales; Lysobacteraceae
Description: 16S ribosomal RNA
Rfam family: Bacterial small subunit ribosomal RNA
Source: RNAcentral